Molecule: ribosomal RNA, 205 nt
Filed under: uncultured bacterium
Lineage: Bacteria
Description: partial 16S ribosomal RNA
Rfam family: Bacterial small subunit ribosomal RNA
Source: RNAcentral
UGCGUAGGCGGGUCUUAAGUCAGGGGUGAAAUCCUGGAGCUCAACUCCAGAACUGCCUUUGAUACUGAAGAUCUUGAGUUCGGGAGAGGUGAGUGGAACUGCGAGUGUAGAGGUGAAAUUCGUAGAUAUUCGCAAGAACACCAGUGGCGAAGGCGGCUCACUGGCCCGAUACUGACGCUGAGGCACGAAAGCUGGGGAGCAAACA